UUCCCUGCUGCCAGUUCAUAUAGUAAGCGUAGCAUGAAGCCACUAGUAUAAUACAGGUGAUCACAGUCCAUGGACAUAAGUUCAAGUGGUGAUUUUCAGAGAGGCUUCAUUUUUCAGAUGAGUAUGACUGAAAGGCUGCUGUUGAUAACAUGGAACAAUUCAGUACCUUUAAUGGUGCAAACAUUUACUGUUGUUCCCAAUGUUGAGCUGCGCUUCACCUGAGCUUAUUAGGUUCUCCCACAGGGAUGUGGACAAGAUCUGCUAACCUUGAACUGAGAACAAAUAAUGUAUAGUUUAAAACAGAAGCCUGGUAAAUAGGCCCUAGGGAAAGCUGCUGCACUGCAUGGGCAGAAAGAAAGAGAAGCAAGAGAAAAGGGAGAGAAGGGCUGAGAGAAGUGAGACCCAGAUCACAGACUGUAGGUUCUGUCCUGGCUUCAACAUUAACCAGUUUGCCUGACGCAAUGACCAGUGCUUAGCAGCUGCUUAAUAAAUGAAUGACCUCUUGUAAUUCUUUCAACCUAUUGACUGUAAUAUCCCCCAGUAUAUCUUCGUUUACACUCUCAAACUGUUAUGGUGAGAAUCAACAUAAAUGGUCUUGUAGAAAUACUCUGAGGACUAAGAAUGGUUCACGUAUUUCCAAAGAAAUUAUUAUCAUUAGCAUUAUUGCUAUAUACAGAAAAAGGCCAAUAAGAGUCAACAGUCAAUAAGUAAAAGAAUUAAAGAAUUCACCCAGGCUACUUUCUAUCACCCACUAAUUCAGAGAUAGAUGGAAACAUAGAUUUUAACCGGCCUUGCAAGUGACCAUUUGGACCAAACCAAGUGACUCAGCUCAAUAAGUUCAGAUCCCUAGAAAGUACUAGCCUGAAGGUGACCAUCCAAACACUGAACUCCAAAGGCGAAACCACAGGAAGCUCUGCAAGGUUCUAGGACUGGGAGAUGUGGGCUGAUACUAUUAAAAAGCCAGUCUUUGUUGAAGUGACCCCAAAUCUAGCCAUGCAGAACCUAAUAUCUAUCUU
RNAcentral lists this long non-coding RNA (1016 nucleotides) under Homo sapiens (human). RNAcentral describes it as "non-protein coding lnc-DCT-13:1". Lineage: Eukaryota; Metazoa; Chordata; Mammalia; Primates; Hominidae. The record is from RNAcentral.